GUGUAGUACGAUCGCAAGAUUAAAACAUAAAGGAAUUGACGGGGACCCGCACAAGCGGUGGAGCGUGAUCUUUAAUUCGAUGGUAAACGAUAAACCUUACCAAGGCUUGACAUCCGAUGUAGGCUCUCGAAAGAGAACUGUGCCUUCGGGAACAUCGAGACAGGUGAUGCAUGGCCGUCGUCAGCUCGUGUCGUGAGAUGUUUGGUUAAGUCCAUCAACGAGCGCAACCCUUGCAACCAGUUGUAUUUUUCUGGUAGGACUGCCCCGGUAACGGGGAGGAAGGAGGGGAUGAUGUCAGGUCAGUAUUUCCCUUACGCCUUGGGCUAGAAUCGCGCUACAAUGGCCGGUACAAUGCGAAGCGAAGCAGUGAUGUGAAGCAAAUCGCACCAAAGCCGGUCCCAGUUCGGAUAAAAGGCUGAAACUCGCCUUUUUGAAGUCGGAAUCGCUAGUAAUCGCAGAUCAGCAUGUUGCGGUGAAUACGUUCCCGGGUCUUGUACACACCGCCCGUCAAACCAUGAGAGUCACCAACACCCGAAGUCCGCCUCGGCGGCCUAAGGUGGGGGAGAUGAUUGGGGUUAAGUCGUAACAAGGCAUCGGUACGAGAACGUGUCGAUGGAUUACCUCCUUUCUA
RNAcentral lists this ribosomal RNA (631 nucleotides) under Nanosynbacter sp. RNAcentral describes it as "bacterial SSU rRNA". It matches the Rfam family "Bacterial small subunit ribosomal RNA", at positions 875 to 1533 of the family's 1533-position model. Lineage: Bacteria; Bacillati; Minisyncoccota; Nanosynbacteria; Nanosynbacterales; Nanosynbacteraceae. The record is from RNAcentral.